RNAcentral lists this ribosomal RNA (442 nucleotides) under uncultured bacterium. Its description in RNAcentral is "partial 16S ribosomal RNA". It matches the Rfam family "Bacterial small subunit ribosomal RNA", at positions 338 to 795 of the family's 1533-position model. The record is from RNAcentral.
CCUACGGGUGGCAGCAGUGGGGAAUAUUGGGCAAUGGGCGCAAGCCUGACCCAGCAAUGCCGCGUGAAGGAAGAAGGCUUUCGGGUUGUAAACUUCUUUGACAGGGGAAGAGCAGAAGACGGUACCCUGAAAACAAGCCACGGCUAACUACGUGCCAGCAGCCGCGGUAAUACGUAGGUGGCAAGCGUUGUCCGGAUUUACUGGGUGUAAAGGGCGUGUAGCCGGGAAGGCAAGUCAGAUGUGAAAUCUGGAGGCUCAACCUCCAAAUUGCAUUUGAAACUGUUUUUCUUGAGUGAGCGAGAAGUAUGCGGAAUGCGUGGUGUAGCGGUGAAAUGCAUAGAUAUCACGCAGAACUCCGAUUGCGAAGGCAGCAUACCGGCGCUCAACUGACGCUCAUGCACGAAAGUGUGGGUAUCGAACAGGAUUAGAUACCCCGGUAGUC